AGACCGCGCACUGGAAGGCGUGCGCGCAGGUGUGCGUGACCAUGUGCUUGAAACGGCAGUAGCGCAGCGAGAAGGAUCGCCAUCACACGGCGCACUGGUGCGGCUUCUCCCCCGAGUGGAUGAACAUGUGCUUGGUGUCGUUUUUCCUUGAGCUGAACGUCUUGCAACAGUGGCCGCACGCAUAGCUGCCCCAGAUCCCGGAAGAAAAUCUCUCCCACACCACUGUAGUCAGAGAGGCCAGUGGGUGCAUGGAACUCCUCGCACGCGCUGUCAGCAGCAGCAGUGAGGAAGCCGGCAGCACAGUCUGGGAAGGAAGGAGGUGCUUGGCUCUCUCCCGGGCCGCCACCUUCGCCGUCCUCGCCAUCGGUCUCAUCGUCAGUUUCCUCGUCAUCGUUGUCACCUCGGUCGUCAGGGGCCGCGGACAGUGAGGGGUAGGCACCAAGCCCCUCGGCUUUGGCAGGUGUCGGGGGCGCAGGCAGCUGCAAACUCGCGGGCCGGCGCUGCUUACCGCUGUGCGCGGCAC
RNAcentral lists this long non-coding RNA (523 nucleotides) under Homo sapiens (human). RNAcentral's name for it is "HSALNT0304920". The record is from RNAcentral. Lineage: Eukaryota; Metazoa; Chordata; Mammalia; Primates; Hominidae.